Hydra vulgaris (swiftwater hydra) is the source of this 2037-nucleotide long non-coding RNA. RefSeq lists it as uncharacterized. The record is from RefSeq and is a predicted model, not a curated record. NCBI's taxonomy places the organism in Eukaryota, Metazoa, Cnidaria, Hydrozoa, Anthoathecata, Hydridae.
AGCUCAAGUUUUAUUGUAAUAUUUAUUAUAUAAAAAUGAUUCAAGAACAUGUAGCAAUUAUGUUUUGAAAAUUAUUCUGCCAGAAGACUAUUGGAAAACAUAUGCAGACAUUCCUUGAGUUUGAAAUUUUCAAUGCCAAUGAUGAUCGUAAUGUUAUUUUAUUUCCUAACUGUUAGGUUGUCACAGAAACAUUAAGUAACGCCAGAAACACAUGUUCUCAAAAUAUUAAGUCUGGAAUUUCGUCUCCUGGUCACGAAAAGUCAAUUUCUUUUUUAAUAUUUAACACUAGUGGUCUAAGUCUAAAAAAACAAUCAGAAGCAUGGUGUUCGUUUUAUUUGAAAAUGAGAUCCUCAAUUUAUUAAGAUGGUCGGAACAGGAUAAACUUUAAAAGAAACCCUUCGUGAUUUAAAGCGUUAACUUGUUUUAAAGAGGUAAAUUUUUAUUUUUAGAAAGUAAUGACACAGUAAAGUUUCUAUCACCCCCCCCCCCCCCAUCACCUUCCAAAAAAAAAAUUUGAGGGUUAAUUAUAUUAUACUGGCUUCACAAUUGGGAAAAAUUGUCCUAUCUUAUUGGAAUAACUUGUACCCAGGUUUCUUUUACCACUUGCGUCAUACUAGCUAUAGAAAGUAUAGAUUGACUUCUUGCCAAACAAAUUUAUUUUUCGUUUAACAAUUUAAUUUAUCGUAAAUAUGUGUCUCCAUUAUUUAUUUGUAAUAUUUUUUUUUUUACUUGUUUGAUUCAAUCCUUUUUUAAACUUGACUAAAUUGAUUUUAAAAUGUUUUACUUUUCAAUUGUAUAAAAUAUUUAAAUUUCUGAUUAUGGUUACCAUUGUUUCUCUUUAUUGAUUAACAUCAAGCUAUCACUAAUCUUUUAAUGAACUUGGGGUUCAUUCUAUGGAUUUGUUACCCGAAAAGUUUCAGUAUAAAAACUCAAGUAUAUUUUUCAAACGUUUUAGUAUAAAAACUCAAGUAUAAUAAAUGUAAAAAGUGUAAUUUUAAAUCAAGUUCGAAUCAACCAAAUGAUCUAGUGUUAUCAAUUACCCUUAAAAAAUAUACGAAUCCCACAUACAUUUACUUUAGUAGAUAAAAGUUCCUUAAAAGUAGUCGAAAAUAAACACUGGUUAAAGUGCUACUCGGUGGGGAUAAAUAUAUAGUUAGUUAUCGCAAUUGAAAAGAAAUGUGCUUAGAAUACCAGCUGCAUCAUUAUAAGAGUGUUUGAUGUCAGUGGCGCCUACUUACUUUUCAGCUAGUAAAGCAAUAGAAUUUGAUCAAAGUAAAUCAUUUCUUAGGCUAUCUAGGUUACCUUAAUUAUCUUUAUAUAAGCAUAUAAGCUAUAAAUGAUUCUGGAUAAAUUUUCAAACUUUCAGCACCAACAACAGUGAAAUUACAUAAAUCCGAAAGAAACUUCAGAAACGACGACACCAUGGGGCCAGGGAGCAUGUGCCUCCCCCCCAUCCCUAAAAGGACUUUUUCUUUUUUUUUUUAAGAAAAUUCUAGAUAUAGGGAACUUUUUUUUAGAAAUUGACGAUCGUACCCCCACCCCCACUUCAAAACCCGGGUCGUUGGCCUUGAUACAACAAUUUUCUUUUUUUAAUUUGUAAAAACUAUUAAUUUAUCCGAAAAAUCUAAAUUAUUGUAAAAAGUAUUUAUUUAUCACAACAUGAGUUUAUCACAACAUGAGUUUAUCACAUGAGUUUAUCGUGAUAAAUAAACAUGAGUUGUGAUAAAUAAAUCGGAAUUUAACGUAAAAAUAAUAAGUAGUCGUAAAAAUCUUGUUGAAAUAAAAAAUAUCUCAUAAAUCGAUAAAAAUUGAUAAAUUGGUAAAAAAAAUAUCUCAUAAAUAUAGCAUAUAGUAUCUCAUAAUAUAUAAGUAUAGGCCGUGAUGCAGUGGUUAGAACGCUUGCUAUAUAAGCAGGAGAUCCUGGCUCGAAACGACCUCUGGACGCAUUUUCGCGUCACGGUAAGGAAGGAGGCGUGAACUUCCUGGUUAAAUGCACUUCCGCGGUGCUCUGUGAAAAGACAGUUAGGUCUUCUUGGG